UGGCGGACGGGUGAGUAACGCGUGGGUAACCUGCCUCAUACAGGGGGAUAACAGUUAGAAAUGACUGCUAAUACCGCAUAAGCGCACGGUUUCGCAUGGAACAGUGUGAAAAACUCCGGUGGUAUGGGAUGGACCCGCGUCUGAUUAGCUUGUUGGCGGGGUAGAGGCCCACCAAGGCGACGAUCAGUAGCCGGCCUGAGAGGGUGGACGGCCACAUUGGGACUGAGACACGGCCCAAACUCCUACGGAAGGCAGCAG
This 258-nucleotide ribosomal RNA is filed under the name uncultured bacterium. RNAcentral describes it as "partial 16S ribosomal RNA". It matches the Rfam family "Bacterial small subunit ribosomal RNA", at positions 96 to 354 of the family's 1533-position model. The record is from RNAcentral.